UACGUAGGGUACAAGCGUUAAUCGGAAUUACUGGGCGUAAAGCGUGCGCAGGCGGUUAUGUAAGACAGGUGUGAAAUCCCCGGGCUUAACCUGGGAACUGCAUUUGUGACUGCAUAGCUAGAGUACGGUAGAGGGGGAUGGAAUUCCGCGUGUAGCAGUGAAAUGCGUAGAUAUGCGGAGGAACACCGAUGGCGAAGGCAAUCCCCUGGACCUGUACUGACGCUCAUGCACGAAAGCGUGGGGAGCAAACAGG
This 253-nucleotide ribosomal RNA is filed under the name uncultured bacterium. Its description in RNAcentral is "partial 16S ribosomal RNA". It matches the Rfam family "Bacterial small subunit ribosomal RNA", at positions 524 to 776 of the family's 1533-position model. The record is from RNAcentral.